UACGUAGGGACCAAGCGUUGUUCGGAUUUACUGGGCGUAAAGGGCGCGUAGGCGGCAAUUCAAGUCAGCUGUGAAAUCUCCGGGCUUAACUCGGAACUGUCAGAUGAUACUGCUUUGCUAGAGUGCGGAAGGGGCAAUCGGAAUUCUUGGUGUAGCGGUGAAAUGCGUAGACAUCAAGAGGAACACCUGAGGUGAAGACGGGUUGCUGGGCAGACAAUGAAGCUGAGUGCGCGAAAGCCAGGGGAGCAAACGGG
This 254-nucleotide ribosomal RNA is filed under the name uncultured bacterium. RNAcentral's name for it is "partial 16S ribosomal RNA". It matches the Rfam family "Bacterial small subunit ribosomal RNA", at positions 524 to 776 of the family's 1533-position model. The record is from RNAcentral.